RNAcentral lists this ribosomal RNA (492 nucleotides) under uncultured bacterium. RNAcentral describes it as "partial 16S ribosomal RNA". It matches the Rfam family "Bacterial small subunit ribosomal RNA", at positions 29 to 507 of the family's 1533-position model. The record is from RNAcentral.
AGUGAACGCUGGCGGUAGGCCUAACACAUGCAAGUCGAACGGCAGCACAGUAAGAGCUUGCUCUUACGGGUGGCGAGUGGCGGACGGGUGAGGAAUACAUCGGAAUCUACUUUUUCGUGAGGGAUAACGUAGGGAAACUUACGCUAAUACCGCAUACGACUUACGGGUGAAAGCAGGGGAUCUUCGGACCUUGCGCGAUUGAAUGAGCCGAUGUCGGAUUAGCUAGUUGGCGGGGUAAAGGCCCACCAAGGCGACGAUCCGUAGCUGGUCUGAGAGGAUGAUCAGCCACACUGGAACUGAGACACGGUCCAGACUCCUACGGGAGGCAGCAGUGGGGAAUAUUGGACAAUGGGCGCAAGCCUGAUCCAGCCAUACCGCGUGGGUGAAGAAGGCCUUCGGGUUGUAAAGCCCUUUUGUUGGGAAAGAAAAGCAGCAGGUUAAUACCCCGCUGUUCUGACGGUACCCAAAGAAUAAGCACCGGCUAACUUCGUG